AUCGUAGAAGAAUCCCCAGAGACUACACGCAAGACAGAUUUGUAACAUGAAUAGUCGACGUUACAAAGAUGAUAAUAUAGUCCGAUCCUUAUGGCGACAUAAGGUUACGAAGCGACUGUAAAUGCUUAGUAUUUAAAACACACAGAACGGUCCUAAGGUAGCGUAAUUCCUUGUCUGGUAAUUUCAGACGUGCACGAAUGGCGUAAUGACUGGGACACUGUCUCGAGGAAGAGCCCGGUGAAAAUACAAUGGCGGUAAAGAUGCCGCCUACCUGCAGCUAGACGAAAAGACCCCGGCAGCUGGGCUACAGCUUGAUAUUGGUGUUGUGUUUGCAAUGCGUAGCAUAGAUGGGAGACUUUGAAGCUAUCCUUUUGGGGAUAGUGGAGUCGUCAGUGAAAUACCAUUCUUUGCAUUUGCUUCACCUAACCUGCAAGGAAAAACCUUAUGGAGACAGUAUCUGGUGGGUAGUUUUAGUGGGGCGCUAUCCUCCUAAAAAGUAACGGAGGAGCUUAAAGGUUCUCUAGGCGUGGAUGGAAACCAUGCUGAUAGUGUAAUGGCAUAAGAGAGCUUGACUGCAAGGGGUACGACCCAAGCAGGUACGAAAGUAGAACAUAGUGAACCGACAGUUUGCCUUAGAUGCAGCUGGAGAUUAACGGAUAACAGUUACGCCGGGGAUAACAGGCUGAUGGUGCCCAAGCGUCCAAAUCGACGGCACCGUUUGGCACCUCGAUGUCGGCUCACCUCAUCCUGGGGCUGGAGCAGGUCCCAAGGGUUCGGCUGUUCGCCGUUUAAAGAGGUACGUGAGCUGGGUUUAGAACGUCGUGAGACAGUUCGGUCCCUAUCUGCCGUGGGUGUAGGAUACUUGAGAGGAGUUGCCCCUAGUACGAGAGGACCGGGGUGAACGUUCCACUGGUGGACCAGUUGUCAUGCCAAUGGCAGUGCUGGGUAGCUAUGAACGGACAGGAUAACCGCUGAAGGCAUCUAAGCGGGAAGCCCCCCUUAAAACAAGGUAUCCCUGAGAGCCGAGGUAGACCACCUCGUCGAUAGGCCAGAGAUGUAAGCGCGGCAACGCGUUCAGUUGACUGGUACUAAUUGCUCGAUAGGCUUGAUUUG
Molecule: ribosomal RNA, 1113 nt
Filed under: hydrothermal vent metagenome
Description: bacterial LSU rRNA
Rfam family: Bacterial large subunit ribosomal RNA
Source: RNAcentral